GAUCUCUGGCCAGCCCACCACAUAGCUUGCGACCCCGGUUCUUGCCACUAACGCGCCACCUCCUAGUUCAACAUGAAGUAAUGCAUGGUAAGUGCUCGAUAAAUUGUCAGGGUGGGCUAAUGAGUGUCUUUAUAGCGGUUGGGCCUACUAGCAUCGAUGAAGUAUGUGUCAAGAAGAGCGGCUGCGUCUGCGUGACUGGGUUGUUAGCACUGUCUUCUAGAUGCAAUGCACCUCUGGUUUCUUCCUAUCUCACCAAUGGAUUCAUUUGGGCUAAGAAAAUGUGCUCUUUUUGAAUCUGUGAUGCCACCACUUUCUGCUAUGAAGUAGUGAUUCUUACAUGAUUUCCAAUUUUCCAUACAUCAAACUCCGCUUUACUGUGAUGUUUAAUUAAUGUAGAUGCAAAUUUUUAGAAAUAUCAAGGAUUAGGUGAUGCUUAUUUAGGCAUGAAACCUUUAUCUUGCCAACUUUCUAUACAUAGGCGACAUCUCCGACCUUUUCUACUUAUAGGGAUGAUGAUGGUUCUGAAACUAUAAUCAUAUAUUUAUUAAGUUCUAUUUUUGCUUCUUGUGCUCAUGUUUCUAUCCUAAAUUCCUAAUCCAAGUAACUGGUUCUUUUUAUUUUAUUGAUCGGGUACUUCAUGGCAGUGCCGUGGACAACGUCACAAUAACUACAUUGAUGGUCCAAGCCCCAGCUCACAAAAUCAUUUAUAGUUGGGUUGUGAGCACCUCAAUAACUCAACAUCAAAUGUAAUUGAUGUGUAGCCGCAUAUAUUCUUUCUAUAAUCUAUUUUGGCUACCAUCAUUUUUAGUUGGACCAUGAGCACCUCAACCACUCAACAUCAUCUAUACCAUGAUUUUAGCAAAGAGUUAUUUAUGUUUAUCAUUGCCUAUGCUUCUUUUUUUUUUCUCAUGCAUGGCACUUAAUAUAUUGUCUUACAGUUUAACACAACUUAGUGGAAAAGUAUGUCUUCUAUUUAUGUACUCUUCCUCUCAGUCAUCAAUUUGCUCACAGAUAUACAUGUUUAUGUAUGUGUCUUCUGUCUCUGAUCUUCAUGUCGUUAUGUUAGUUUUCUCUCCGAGUUGAUUGUUCGUCCUUGACAAAAUUUGUCACAUUAACAAAAGGCUCCAAGCGGUGUCAUGGUCAGGAACCUAUUUUCCAGGCAGCAGGAGAUGGUCAGGUAAUCAACCAUAUCAUCGAUUGUGUUUUUUGGGGUUUGUGGCAAAGUAAUGCUCUUCUUUUCAAAUGUAUGGACUAAUAGGAGUCAUAAGUUGUACCUCAUUUCUGAUACAAAACUGAACUGGUCAUUGGUUAGGUGAGACAUGCCAUGUGUCUGGACUUCGGUGACAAGUCUGAAUGAAUAUAUUAAUUUGAGCAAGUAUUCAGUCCAUAUACUUGCAUUCUUGAUAUUUGAUUUUUAUUUUCUCAACUAUAUGGACGUGUUAGUUCUUUAAAGAUCUCUCAGCUAUAAAAUUGUUCUAGGCUCCUCCGCAAAUUUUUUUGUUCUAGGCUACUUAGGAUCUGACAAAUACUACAACAUAUACACACUGAAUUAUAUCCUUCCAUGUUAUUUCUGUUCCAUCCACUUCCAUUGUUGCAGGAAUCUUUUUGCGUUUGAUAUUAUAUGGCAGAAUCUAUGUGUGCUAUUUCUGCUGAAUUUGAUACCCCAUCUGUGGCUUAUUUCUCUAAUAUUUGCAUUCAAGGCUAUGCUAAAUCGAGUGAUGCUGCCAUUGAGUCGACCAUUUUGUUCUGGUUUACUUACAAGAUGAUACAAUGAUUUAAAUAGACGAUGAAAAUUUAUCUGAGUUGAAGACCUCUCAAAGAAAGUUCUUAGCGGUUUCUUCAUGGGGAAUGACAUUUGAGAGUUUGUGUAAGCGACUUAAUAAAAGAUAAACUACACAAUUUGACCAAGCACGUUGAGGAAGAUAAAAACAGGAAAAGGAAUUUGUGUAUGAUUAGACUGCCUCGAGUGAUUGCUCCCCUUCAAAGAUCUGAGCAUUGAGACGUCCUUGCACUCAUGCACCUCCUGGAAGAGGACAACCUGAGGUGGUCUGCCAUGGGCGCCUAGCGAGGCACAAUGUUUGGGCGCUUCACCGUGGCUUCUAGGGGGUGGCUAAGUCGUCGGCGUCGGGCAGUGGUGUUGCCGUUCGCAUAAGCAAGCUACAUGGCGUCAAGAAGAAACCGUGUUGCAUACUGCCAAGUUCUAGAAACGGGGUGACGCUUGCGUAGUUAUUUGGCGUAAAGGAGACCAAGGGCACAUCAGAAGGUUUAGUAUGCAUCAUAUUGUUAGGGCAAUGUUUUGAACACGACAGGAACACUUGGCUUAUUUGGUACCAUUGUUCUUCUUCCAAGGACUGCGAUAACAUCUUUUCUUCACAUAUGAGAGGAAGACAUACCAAAGUAGCCUUGGUAAUAACAAGCAGGUUGAGCUCAUUGAUAUGGGUGCUAUAAGUAGUGAGCCUGCUGCAGAGGACAAUAUUCAAAUGGCAUCAGGUUAA
Long non-coding RNA from Aegilops tauschii subsp. strangulata, 2495 nucleotides. RefSeq lists it as uncharacterized. Lineage: Eukaryota; Viridiplantae; Streptophyta; Magnoliopsida; Poales; Poaceae. The record is from RefSeq and is a predicted model, not a curated record.